CAAUUAAACAGAGGCCCGACAACUGGCCCUGAAUUGGGCCAGAUAGUGGCCUCUAUCUCCUAGCCUGUGAUUGGCUGGCGGCUGAGACACUGAUGUCAGCCUCACUUUGAUGGGGCGCGAGCGCUGCUCUCCUAUUGGCCGUUUGGGAGUG
Thalassophryne amazonica is the source of this 151-nucleotide long non-coding RNA. RefSeq lists it as uncharacterized. The transcript has 3 exons. Lineage: Eukaryota; Metazoa; Chordata; Actinopteri; Batrachoidiformes; Batrachoididae. The record is from RefSeq and is a predicted model, not a curated record.